This 465-nucleotide ribosomal RNA is filed under the name Vreelandella stevensii. Its description in RNAcentral is "partial 16S ribosomal RNA". It matches the Rfam family "Bacterial small subunit ribosomal RNA", at positions 338 to 795 of the family's 1533-position model. Lineage: Bacteria; Pseudomonadati; Pseudomonadota; Gammaproteobacteria; Oceanospirillales; Halomonadaceae. The record is from RNAcentral.
CCUACGGGCGGCAGCAGUGGGGAAUAUUGGACAAUGGGCGAAAGCCUGAUCCAGCCAUGCCGCGUGUGUGAAGAAGGCCUUCGGGUUGUAAAGCACUUUCAGUGGGGAAGAAAGCCUUGGGGCUAAUACCCUCGAGGAAGGACAUCACCCACAGAAGAAGCACCGGCUAACUCCGUGCCAGCAGCCGCGGUAAUACGGAGGGUGCGAGCGUUAAUCGGAAUUACUGGGCGUAAAGCGCGCGUAGGCGGUCUGAUAAGCCGGUUUUGAAAGCCCCGGGCUCAACCUGGGAACGGCAUCCGGAACUGUCAGGCUAGAGUGCAGGAGAGGAAGGUAGAAUUCCCGGUGUAGCGGUGAAAUGCGUAGAGAUCGGGAGGAAUACCAGUGGCGAAGGCGGCCUUCUGGACUGACACUGACGCUGAGGUGCGAAAGCGUGGGUAGCAAACAGGAUUAGAUACCCUAGUAGUC